AGUGGUAAGGGUGGAAAGGUGAGGUAAGAGCUCACCAGCAGUCUGGUAACAGGCUGGCUCGGUAAACCCCAUCCGGAGCAAGACCGAAUAGGGAAGGGUUAACGGUGGUCCCGCCUACCUUCCGGGUUGUGUCGCUCGAGCGUGCAGGCGACUGUACGCCUAGAAAGAUAAUCGUCACCGCGCAAGCGGAACAGAACUCGGCUUAAUGAUUGCUUGCUUCU
Molecule: RNase P RNA, 221 nt
Filed under: Veillonella sp.
Lineage: Bacteria; Bacillati; Bacillota; Negativicutes; Veillonellales; Veillonellaceae
Description: partial RNase P RNA component class A
Rfam family: Bacterial RNase P class A
About the family: Ribonuclease P (RNase P) is a ubiquitous endoribonuclease, found in archaea, bacteria and eukarya as well as chloroplasts and mitochondria. Its best characterised activity is the generation of mature 5'-ends of tRNAs by cleaving the 5'-leader elements of precursor-tRNAs.
Source: RNAcentral